Molecule: long non-coding RNA, 1034 nt
Organism: Pundamilia nyererei
Lineage: Eukaryota; Metazoa; Chordata; Actinopteri; Cichliformes; Cichlidae
Exons: 3
Source: RefSeq, a predicted model, not a curated record
ACCUUAUUAACAUCAUCCUGCAGUGGGAGCCUCUCUGAGAGGAAACCAUCGAUCCACGCUUACAAACCAAACAUGCUGACUUAUUUAUUAGCUGUCAGUCUGCUGGUGAUGUCAGUACAUGGAACAAGAUGCCUUCUGGCCUAUAGAGGUUUACACAUGUGGGUCAAAUGUCCCCCAUUGUGAACCAGUCAGUGCUGUAAUGUGUGAGCCCUCGGGCCUCUGUGGCCUGGAGCCUGUAUUGACCUGUUGGCAUCGCUGUUUGUUUUCUGUAGGAGUUGCUGUUGGAUGAGCUGGUGAUGGGCGUGGCCUUGCUCUUGUUGGAAGCCCCUUCAGAUCAGCUGACCAGCCUUCUCAGACUUGCACUGAGUUUGGUCCCUGAACAAGCGGAGGCGUCGCCCUGGUUGAGUCCGGUCCUGAUUCUCCCCGUGUUGCAGCUCCUGUCCUGCUUGGGUCUCACUGAGCCGCUGUCUGACCAGAACACACACAGCACCAACCACAGGCUGGCUCACAGCCUGCUGCGCAGAGUUAGCAGGCCUGCAGAUAAACCCCAGCAGGUAGCCCAGCAGGUAACCCAACAGGUAGCCUAGCAGGUAGCCUAGCAGGUAAUCCAGGAGGUAACCCAGCAGGUAGCCCAGCAGGUAACCCAACAGGUAGCCUAGCAGGUAACCCAGGAGGUAACCCAGCAGGUAGCCCAGCAGGUAGCCUAGCAGGUAACCCAGCAGGUAGCCCAGCAGGUAACCCAGGAGGUAACCCAGCAGGUAACCUAGCAGGUAGCCUAGCAGGUAACCCAACAGGUAGCCUAGCAGGUAGCCCAACAGGUAGCCCAACAGGUAGCCUAGCAGGUAGCCUAGCAGGUAGCCUAGCAGGUAGCGCAACAGGUAACCCAACAGGUGACCCAGCAGGUGACCCAACAGGUGACCCAGCAGGUAGCCUAGCGGAUAACCCAACAGGUAGCCUAGCAGGUAACCCAGCAGGUAGCCUAGCAGGUAACCCAACAGGUAGCCUAGCAGGUAACCCAACAGGUAGCCUAGCAG